UCGUCCAAAUUAUUCAAGGAUUUGAUUUUUCCGACAAUCCUAUCCUUCCUCACUUUGUCCCAAUCAUUUAAUCACUUUUUCUCCAGUCGGUCGGUACUGGGCUUCUAUUCUUAGCAGGUUCAAUUUCGUAGCUGCGAUUCCAGCUUCACUGGCGAUAAGUCUAUGCAAUCUCGUUUUCUAUAUGAUCCCAUUUUAGUUUCUAUUCAAUCUCGUCUUCUGUUCUAACGCAAUUACACAGAUUUCGUCUGGCGUCUGAGUUCGCGGCCGCAUUCGAUAACUUCAACGCGAAGGAAAAAACCAAACAAUCUGUGUGCUCUGCUUGCAUAUAUACAGACAAAUAAAGGGAAAAAAAAUGCUAAAUUUCCUAUCCAGGAUACCUCUCCCGUGAUUUGAUAUCUCCAUCAAUUGCUGUUAUUGUUCUUCUUUAUUUAAAAAAUAAAAAAACAAUUUGUGUGCUCCCCUUGAAUCCCUAUUGAUAUUUCUCUCCAGUUACUUCA
Long non-coding RNA from Prosopis cineraria, 497 nucleotides. RefSeq lists it as uncharacterized. Lineage: Eukaryota; Viridiplantae; Streptophyta; Magnoliopsida; Fabales; Fabaceae. The transcript is spliced from 2 exons. The record is from RefSeq and is a predicted model, not a curated record.